Molecule: ribosomal RNA, 255 nt
Filed under: uncultured bacterium
Lineage: Bacteria
Description: partial small subunit ribosomal RNA
Rfam family: Bacterial small subunit ribosomal RNA
Source: RNAcentral
AGGACGAACGCUGGCGGCGUGCUUAACACAUGCAAGUCGAGCGGAAAGGCCCUUCGGGGUACUCGAGCGGCGAACGGGUGAGUAACACGUGAGCAAUCUGCCCUUAGCUUCGGGAUAGCCCCGGGAAACCGGGAUUAAUACCGAAUACGACCUCAGCCGACAUCGGCUCUGGUGGAAAGUUUUUCGGCUAGGGAUGAACUCGCGGCCUAUCAGCUUGGUUGGUGGGGUAAUGGCCUACCAAGGCGACGACGGGUA